Molecule: transfer RNA, 73 nt
Filed under: Bos taurus (domestic cattle)
Lineage: Eukaryota; Metazoa; Chordata; Mammalia; Artiodactyla; Bovidae
Also listed under: 2 other names
Rfam family: tRNA
About the family: Transfer RNA (tRNA) molecules are approximately 80 nucleotides in length. Their secondary structure includes four short double-helical elements and three loops (D, anti-codon, and T loops). Further hydrogen bonds mediate the characteristic L-shaped molecular structure. tRNAs have two regions of fundamental functional importance: the anti-codon, which is responsible for specific mRNA codon recognition, and the 3' end, to which the tRNAs corresponding amino acid is attached (by aminoacyl-tRNA synthetases). tRNAs cope with the degeneracy of the genetic code in two manners: having more than one tRNA (with a specific anti-codon) for a particular amino acid; and 'wobble' base-pairing, i.e. permitting non-standard base-pairing at the 3rd anti-codon position.
Source: Rfam by way of RNAcentral
GUCUGUAUAGCUCAGUUGGUAAAGAAUCUGCUUGUAGUGCAGGAGACCCUGGUUUGAUUCCUGGGUCGGGACA